Molecule: transfer RNA, 69 nt
Filed under: Dendropsophus decipiens
Lineage: Eukaryota; Metazoa; Chordata; Amphibia; Anura; Hylidae
Also listed under: 1 other name
Description: tRNA-Val
Rfam family: tRNA
About the family: Transfer RNA (tRNA) molecules are approximately 80 nucleotides in length. Their secondary structure includes four short double-helical elements and three loops (D, anti-codon, and T loops).
Source: RNAcentral
CAAAAUGUAGCUUAAACAAAGCAUCUCGCUUACACCGAGAAGACACCCGUGAAACCCGGAUCAUUUUGA